This 85-nucleotide transfer RNA is filed under the name Ceratocystis platani. It matches the Rfam family "tRNA". From Rfam's summary of the family: Transfer RNA (tRNA) molecules are approximately 80 nucleotides in length. Their secondary structure includes four short double-helical elements and three loops (D, anti-codon, and T loops). Lineage: Eukaryota; Fungi; Ascomycota; Sordariomycetes; Microascales; Ceratocystidaceae. The record is from Rfam by way of RNAcentral. RNAcentral also lists the same sequence under 1 other name.
GGUUCUGUGGUCUAGUGGUAUGAUUCUUGCUUUGGGACCCACUCAAGUUUGCAAGAGGCCCCGGGUUCAAACCCCGGCAGAGCCC